RNAcentral lists this ribosomal RNA (151 nucleotides) under Flavomyces fulophazii. Its description in RNAcentral is "5.8S ribosomal RNA". It matches the Rfam family "5.8S ribosomal RNA". Rfam says of the family: 5.8S ribosomal RNA (5.8S rRNA) is a component of the large subunit of the eukaryotic ribosome. It is transcribed by RNA polymerase I as part of the 45S precursor that also contains 18S and 28S rRNA. Lineage: Eukaryota; Fungi; Ascomycota; Dothideomycetes; Pleosporales; Periconiaceae. The record is from RNAcentral.
CAACAAUGGAUCUCUUGGUUCUGGCAUCGAUGAAGAACGCAGCGAAAUGCGAUAAGUAGUGUGAAUUGCAGAAUUCAGUGAAUCAUCGAAUCUUUGAACGCACAUUGCGCCCCUCGGUAUUCCGUGGGGCAUGCCUGUUCGAGCGUCAUUU